This 253-nucleotide ribosomal RNA is filed under the name uncultured bacterium. RNAcentral describes it as "partial 16S ribosomal RNA". It matches the Rfam family "Bacterial small subunit ribosomal RNA", at positions 524 to 776 of the family's 1533-position model. The record is from RNAcentral.
UACGGAGGGUGCAAGCGUUAUCCGGAUUCACUGGGCUUAAAGGGUGCGUAGGCGGGUUGGUAAGUCCGUGGUGAAAUCCCCAAGCUUAACUUGGGAACUGCCGUGGAUACUAUCAAUCUUGAAUAUCGUGGAGGUAAGCGGAAUAUGUCAUGUAGCGGUGAAAUGCUUAGAUAUGACAUAGAACACCAAUUGCGUAGGCAGCUUACUACACGAUCAUUGACGCUGAGGCACGAAAGCGUGGGGAGCAAACAGG